Streptomyces zinciresistens K42 is the source of this 75-nucleotide non-coding RNA. It matches the Rfam family "ASpks TB sRNA". Lineage: Bacteria; Bacillati; Actinomycetota; Actinomycetes; Kitasatosporales; Streptomycetaceae. The record is from Rfam.
CUUGAUGGCGCCCAGCCACAGCGGCCGGCCCUCGGGGCGCUCCUGGCCGUAGGUGGCCAGCAGCGCCUGCGCCUC